UACGAAGGGGGCUAGCGUUGUUCGGAAUUACUGGGCGUAAAGCGCGCGUAGGCGGACAUUUAAGUCAGGGGUGAAAUGCCGGGGCUCAACCUCGGAACUGCCUUUGAUACUGGAUGUCUGGAGUCGGGAGAGGUGAGUGGAAUUCCGAGUGUAGAGGUGAAAUUCGUAGAUAUUCGGAAGAACACCAGUGGCGAAAGGCGACUUACUGGACACAUAUUGACGCUGAGGUGCGAAAGCGUGGGGAGCAAACAGG
Molecule: ribosomal RNA, 253 nt
Filed under: uncultured bacterium
Lineage: Bacteria
Description: partial 16S ribosomal RNA
Rfam family: Bacterial small subunit ribosomal RNA
Source: RNAcentral